CAAGUCAUCGCUCUGGCCCAUUUUAAGCUUUGGACUGGGCCGCAUUAGGUGUUGGAAUGGGAGAGGACGGGGCCUUUCUUUUCGAGAGAGGGGAGGGUUUUGGGGCAGGUGUAGAGGCCGCCUGUGGUAGGCGUAGGUUACCUCAGGAGGGAGGAGGAGAGGAGGCGGGCGGGGGAGUUCGGGAGGGAGCAGCGCGGGAGGAGGACGAGGAGGGUAGCCGCGACGCGGAGGAGGCCGGGCUUCGAAGACGGAGCCGCGGAGGGGAGGGACGGCGGCGCGCGGGCGGCCACCUCGCACCGCGGCGCCCGACGCGGGCUCCGCAAGCUGCCUUAAGUGUCGGUCCUGUUCGAGGGGCCCCAGCCUGCGCCCCCGCGCGCGGCCUCUCGGAUGGCGCUCCUCGUUCCCCUCGGGCAGCACGCGGGGAACCCACGCCCUCGCCCCCCGUAGUGAGCGAUGUAGCAGGGCCGACCCCGCAACGAGCGCGACUCGAAACAGUAAACCUUCCACCAACUCUUAAAGGAGGGGGAUUUCUCUUUCCUAGUCUUAAGACCUCUUGGAUGCAGAAGACCCCAGUGUACCAGGAAACGACGGCCGAGGUUAAACAGUUGUAGAUGUUCGUAAUUUCGGGUUUUCCUCAGCUUCUUUUUAGAUUUGUUCAAAAUAUUCCUUGAAGCCUGUGACUUUUGGCAAUUGUACCGUCCGGCAGUUAAGCCCCUACUCCCUGAUAAGAAAGAUCGUCUUUCGAAUCGGAUAUUGUUCUCACGACUUCUCCACCUGAAAAGCCCAUUACGCUAUUGUCGACGCCCUUAUCUUCGAAAGCUACCGUAAGAGGUCUAUUUGUGUCGAAACUUCUGAGAGUUAAAUAGACCUUUAUAGUAACCUCUACUUCCUCGAUUCUAUAUAACUAGCUUUUGCAUCCAUAAGUCUUCGAGAAGGACUUGUCAUGUUUAUAGCCUCUACUCCCCCGUUUUCGUUAAAGUCUAGACGACUUUUUCUUGUUUUGUUAUGCAUAACAUGUCGAAUCGUUGUUAUGUUAUCUUAUGUCACCAAAACGUUCAUAACGUCUACGUGAAGAACUCUUAUUAUGCGAUGCCUCAAACAUAGAGUUACCGUUGAUACCACCAGGAGAGCCACGUAGGUCGGAUCGUUUUCCUCAACAUCCCUUGUUUAGAGAGUCCCUUGAAGUAAAUGUACCAUUACCUAAACCCUUGCUCCCUAAUGCCCACAACUACAGACGUAAUAGACGAGUGUUUCCCUUCUAUUGUCAGAACCUAUAACCAUUGUUGUUGUAAUGUAGUCUUCCAAGAGAGAUACAUCGACUCAAGUAGUUUCACUGUUUCAGAGAUGCCACCGAGUCGGACAUGUACCUACUACAACCACUGCUCCCUCGACUUUUCCACCGUCUACGAGACUUUGUCUUGUUUUGUUAAAGAUGAUACCUGAAACCACCAUUAUUGUAAGUGAGAUCUCCCCAUUGACGUUAUCGACUUUGAGACUUCCUCUUACUUCACGACUGUUGUGACCUCAACUCAAUAUUAGGUUAACCUGGUCUCCCACAUUUCCGAAACACGCUACAAGAGUUCAAGUUGCCGUUUGAGGUUUGGGAAUUCGAACCAACCACGGUCUAUCCACACAGUCCACGUCUCAAGCAACGACUAACAAACUUCAUAUUGUGUUGUAACAGCUGUAACCUAAACGCCCGUUUACCUGAACCUCUACUACCACGAUAGACGAACCGCGCUUCAAACUUCUAUUAGUUACUUAGGAACUUUAGUGAACUGGAACCUAAAUUACUUUAAUCUCUACUACCUCGUAAACGUAACCGUGUUCGUGAGUUCCGGUUACUCCUAGAACGCCAGUGUAGUAAUUACGAGCGAUUGUUGAAGAAACCCUUUAAACCUGUCCAACGAGACUGGCUCCGUGCCCUAGUACAUAUGCUCUACUCACCUUUCCUUUAUCUGUAAAUAAUAAUCAUGUUUACCAAAGAGUAACGUGACAUCGACGAUAGGCUACCAAGUCGAACAGCCACCUACAAAGACGUAUCAACUGAUACAUUAACUCCGAAAACCCGUAAUGAGUUCAUCUAGUUUCCUUUACCCCCUUCUCGUACCAAAUACGAAACGAUAUGUUUAAAACCAUUUGAUGAACUGACAUCAAAUUAGUAAGUCGACAUAUAUACGUUUAAAAGUCUCCGUGAACGGUAAGAAUAUAACCAACAUUACCUGGUAUAGGAAGUAAAGUCCAUACCUAAACCGAUUAAUCACUGCUGAAAACGGUCGAAAAAAAGAAAUCAGACCAACAGUAAACAGUAUGUAUAUAUUGAAUAAAUAAAAACUUAUUAUGCUAGUGAUGUAUUAUUCAUCUCAGUAGCAGUUCGGGCUACUAAAACAAUACCCCAGUAGACCCCUUUUGCAAAGACGAGCACAUUCACAUAUGUGGGUAAGAGAUCUGGUAAGACACAACGUAAAUGUAAGUUGGGGUGUUAAAGGUGACGUACUGGUACGUUUCAAAGUACACCAUGUAAAGUUUAAAGUAAUGGUAGGUACGACUUACCCUAAGUGACUCGAGUAGAUGACAAUACAACACUACCUUUGAUAUUAUUGGACCGUGAAACACAACCCGUAAGGGACGUAAAUACGUAAAAAAAGACAAUCCCCACCCAUCUAUUUACUACUCCGUUAUAGUGAACCUGUGAAGUGAACGUCACUGUAAUUGAAAAAUAAUGACAAAGCCAAAAUAUCCUCUAUACCUCAUUUUACCGUAAAAACGGGAACCUUGGCUUGAUCCUAGUGACAACCAGCACCUACAUUUUGAUAAAAACAAAAUCUUGUCUCUCCUGUCCUAUAGCAAAAACAGGUACCCUGUUUGAUUCGUGUAUCCAGUAACGAAGGUGCAUGCAACAAAGGUACGAUGGAUUCUUGUCUGCGUAUUAGAUUUUCAAGAACUAAAAAAACUGUUGGAACUAUGCACUACGUAGACGGUACCGUGUGUUUAAGUUCUGGCCGAAAAUAAGUGUCGAACCACUUUUUUCUUAUCCAUUUAGACUGACAUCUAUCAUGUGUUAAACUCAUCAUAUAGAAACCAUGAUAAGUGUAAGACUAAACAGUAAAAAGAACAAAGAACUAGCUAGGUGGAGAAGCAGUUUACGGCAAAGUGGUAGUCCGAAACCUUGUACCAGUAACGUUCUAUACCCGAACACGUGUACCUAUGGUGGCAAACCGUAGAAGUGCUCAGCUAACCACCCUAUCCUCUUGGCUGUACUGUUUAGGAUUGUCCUCUCGAUACCGGAGGGAGUGGUACGAUCACAGCAGCUGAUAUACCUUGCUCGUAUUACGAUCCUAGAAGUCCGUGUUCUCGCGCGGCGGGGACUAGGAGGAAUUUUAUCAAUGGCUACUCCGAUCGGAGACCCAAUGACGGCCACGAUUCUUUGAACCCUUUUAACAUAAUUCGUUCAUUAACGGUACGGCACACCCCACUCCAUGACAUGGCUGAAUUUGAGAUAAGAGGAGAGUAAAUUAUCUACUCCGUUUAGAAAACGGAGACAAAACUUUUUUUUCAAAACUUUGCUUUACAAACCUGUUACCUCAUCUGAAGAAAAACUCUCUACCCG
This 3610-nucleotide ribosomal RNA is filed under the name Triticum aestivum (bread wheat). RNAcentral describes it as "partial small subunit ribosomal RNA". Lineage: Eukaryota; Viridiplantae; Streptophyta; Magnoliopsida; Poales; Poaceae. The record is from RNAcentral.